GACAGGGGAUGCAAGCGUUACUCGGAAUUACUGGGCGUAAAGCGUCUGCAGGCGUCUUGCCACGUCUGGUGUAAAAGCACGGAGCCUAACUCCGUGUACGUGCCGGAAACGAGCGAGAUUGAGUCACAAAGAGGUAUCUGGAAUGUCGUGUGUAGGGGUAAAAUCCGUAGAUCCACGAUGGAAUGCCGAAAGCGUAAGCAGGAUACUGGUUGUGCACUGACGCUCAGAGACGAAAGCGUGGGGAGCAAAGGGG
This 253-nucleotide ribosomal RNA is filed under the name uncultured bacterium. RNAcentral's name for it is "partial 16S ribosomal RNA". It matches the Rfam family "Bacterial small subunit ribosomal RNA", at positions 524 to 776 of the family's 1533-position model. The record is from RNAcentral.